AUUGAACGCUGGCGGCAGGCUUAACACAUGCAAGUCGAGCGGAGAGAGGUAGCUUGCUACUGAUCUUAGCGGCGGACGGGUGAGUAAUACUUAGGAAUCUGGCUAUUAGUGGGGGACAACAUUUCGAAAGGGAUGCUAAUACCGCAUACGUCCUACGGGAGAAAGCAGGGGAUCUUCGGACCUUGCGCUAAUAGAUGAGCCUAAGUCGGAUUAGCUAGUUGGUGGGGUAAAGGCCUACCAAGGCGACGAUCUGUAGCGGGUCUGAGAGGAUGAUCCGCCACACUGGGACUGAGACACGGCCCAGACUCCUACGGGAGGCAGCAGUGGGGAAUAUUGGACAAUGGGGGGAACCCUGAUCCAGCCAUGCCGCGUGUGUGAAGAAGGCCUUAUGGUUGUAAAGCACUUUAAGCGAGGAGGAGGGUACUGGUAUUAAUACUACCAGGUACUGGACGUUACUCGCAGAAUAAGCACCGGCUAACUCUGUG
RNAcentral lists this ribosomal RNA (485 nucleotides) under uncultured bacterium. Its description in RNAcentral is "partial 16S ribosomal RNA". It matches the Rfam family "Bacterial small subunit ribosomal RNA", at positions 30 to 507 of the family's 1533-position model. The record is from RNAcentral.